RNAcentral lists this ribosomal RNA (532 nucleotides) under Basidiodendron rimosum. RNAcentral describes it as "eukaryotic LSU rRNA". It matches the Rfam family "Eukaryotic large subunit ribosomal RNA", at positions 67 to 597 of the family's 3401-position model. Lineage: Eukaryota; Fungi; Basidiomycota; Agaricomycetes; Auriculariales; Exidiaceae. The record is from RNAcentral.
AACAAGGAUUCCCCUAGUAACGGCGAGUGAAGAGGGAACAGCUCAAAUUUAAAAUCUGGCGGUCUUUGGCCGUCCGAAUUGUAAUUUAGAGAGGCGUUUUCUGUGSUGGACCACGCGAAAGUCCCCUGGAAUGGGGCGUCAGAGAGGGUGAGAAUCCCGUUCUUGGCGUGGACUACCAGUGCUAUGUGAUGCGCCCUCGAAGAGUCGAGUUGUUUGGGAAUGCAGCUCAAAAUGGGUGGUAAAUUCCAUCUAAAGCUAAAUAUUGGCGAGAGACCGAUAGCGAACAAGUACCGUGAGGGAAAGAUGAAAAGAACUUUGGAAAGAGAGUUAAACAGUACGUGAAAUUGCUGAAAGGGAAACGCUUAAAGUCAGUCACUUCGCUUUGACUUCAGCCUGGCAUUCGUGCUUGGUGUACUGUCUUUGUGAGGGGUCAACAUCACUUUUGAGCGUCGGAAAAGGUUGUGAGGAAUGUGGCACCUUCGGGUGUGUUAUAGCCUUGCUUCWUAWWACGGCGCUUGGGAGUGAGGACCGC